Molecule: ribosomal RNA, 119 nt
Filed under: Theropithecus gelada (gelada)
Lineage: Eukaryota; Metazoa; Chordata; Mammalia; Primates; Cercopithecidae
Source: RNAcentral
GUCUACGGUGAUACCACCCUGAACGUGCCUGAUCUCAUCUGAUCUCAGAAGAUAAGCAGGGUCGGGCCUGGUUAGUACUUGCAUGGGAGACCACCUGGGAAUACCAGGAGCUGUAGGAU